UAAUGUCUGGGAAACUGCCUGAUGGAGGGGGAUAACUACUGGAAACGGUAGCUAAUACCGCAUAACGUCGCAAGACCAAAGUGGGGGACCUUCGGGCCUCAUGCCAUCAGAUGUGCCCAGAUGGGAUUAGCUAGUAGGUGGGGUAAUGGCUCACCUAGGCGACGAUCCCUAGCUGGUCUGAGAGGAUGACCAGCCACACUGGAACUGAGACACGGUCCAG
This 220-nucleotide ribosomal RNA is filed under the name uncultured bacterium. Its description in RNAcentral is "partial 16S ribosomal RNA". It matches the Rfam family "Bacterial small subunit ribosomal RNA", at positions 111 to 334 of the family's 1533-position model. The record is from RNAcentral.